GACGAACGCUGGCGGCGUGCUUAACACAUGCAAGUCGAACGGAGAGGCUCUGCUUUUGUGGGGUGCUCGAGUGGCGAACGCGUGAGUAACACGUGAGUAACCUGCCCUUGACUUUGGGGUAACUUAAGGAAACUGGGGCUAUUACACGAUAGGAGAUCCUGCUGCAUGGUGGGGGUGGGAAAAUUUCGGCGGUUGGAGAUGGACUCGCGGCUUAUCAGCUUGUUGGUGGGGUAGUGGCUUACCAAGGCUUUGACGAGUAGCCGGCCUGAGAGGGUGACCGGCCACAUUGGGACUGGGAUGCGACCCAGACUCCUACGGGAGGCAGCGGUGGGGAAUAUUGCACGAUGGGCGGAAGCCGGAUGCAGCAACGCCGGGUGCGGGAUGACGGCCUUCGGGUUGGAAACCGCUUUCGCCUGUGACGAAGCGUGAGUGACGGUAAUGGGUAAAGAAGCACCGGCUAACUACGUG
Molecule: ribosomal RNA, 468 nt
Filed under: uncultured bacterium
Lineage: Bacteria
Description: partial 16S ribosomal RNA
Rfam family: Bacterial small subunit ribosomal RNA
Source: RNAcentral